GGGAAACAAGAAACACGUAAUCACCCAAAUAACCGUUUUAGUCCUUUCCCCCUGGAUUUGUGUCUUAAGAUAGCCUACAGUAUAUACUUCAAAGGAUACUCCGGAGGCCACGAGACUGUUCCAAUGGGACUUGAAGGCGGCCCAGAGUGUCGGAGUGAAAGGCAGGGGGCGGUGGAACAAACACAAUGGGCUGACCUUCAGCCUGCAUCUGCUCAGAGAACACACUAAAUGGUCACAUUGAUGCUCAUGUUUAGCUCUUUGCUAAGGGGCCUGAUGGAGCCGACAGUCAUCGGGGACACAGUGAGGGUCUGGGC
Molecule: long non-coding RNA, 314 nt
Organism: Oncorhynchus tshawytscha (Chinook salmon)
Lineage: Eukaryota; Metazoa; Chordata; Actinopteri; Salmoniformes; Salmonidae
Source: Ensembl